ACCGGCCGUAACCACGCGCAGGCCAUCAACGGCGACGCCAAGCGAGACUUCGCGAUACUCGGCCUUGUUCUCCUUGUUCACGACCAUCACGUACUUCUUGUUCUGGUCGGUGCCGACAGCGCGCUCGUUGAUCAUCAUGGCGCGUUCGGUUUUGGGCUGGCCCAUUUGCAGGCGGACGAAUUGUCCGGGGAUCAGACGGCCAUCCUUGUUGUCGAAGAUGGCGCGGACCCGCACCGUGCCGCUGCGUGCAUCGACCUGGUUGUCGAUCAGCUGCAUCUGGCCCUCGAACGGCAGGC
RNAcentral lists this unclassified non-coding RNA (296 nucleotides) under Hevea brasiliensis (rubber tree). The record is from RNAcentral. Lineage: Eukaryota; Viridiplantae; Streptophyta; Magnoliopsida; Malpighiales; Euphorbiaceae.